Non-coding RNA from Schistosoma mattheei, 45 nucleotides. Lineage: Eukaryota; Metazoa; Platyhelminthes; Trematoda; Strigeidida; Schistosomatidae. The record is from Rfam.
AUUUAGUUGACGAGUCCCAAAUAGGACGAAACAUGUGUCCUAAUU